CCAGCCCGCUCAGAAACUCAAAGGAAUUGACGGGGGCCCGCACAAGCGGUGGAGUAUGUGGUUUAAUUCGAUGCAACGCGAAGAACCUUACCUGGUCUUGACAUCCCGGAGACCCUUAGGAAACUAGGGGGUGCUUCCAUCUGGAAGAAUCUGGAGACAGGUGCUGCAUGGCUGUCGUCAGCUCGUGUCGUGAGAUGUUGGGUUAAGUCCCGCAACGAGCGCAACCCUCGACUUUAGUUACCAUCAUUAAGUUGGGUACUUUAAAGUAACCGCCGGUGAUAAGCCGGAGGAAGGUGGGGAUGACGUCAAGUCCUCAUGGCCCUUACGCGCUGGGCUACACACGUGCUACAAUGGCAAGUACAGUGGGCAGCAAUCCCGCGAGGGUGAGCUAAUCUCCAAAACUUGUCUCAGUUCGGAUUGUUCUCUGCAACUCGAGAGCAUGAAGGCGGAAUCGCUAGUAAUCGCGGAUCAGCAUGCCGCGGUGAAUACGUUCCCAGGCCUU
This 502-nucleotide ribosomal RNA is filed under the name uncultured Sphingomonas sp. Its description in RNAcentral is "bacterial SSU rRNA". It matches the Rfam family "Bacterial small subunit ribosomal RNA", at positions 884 to 1382 of the family's 1533-position model. Lineage: Bacteria; Pseudomonadati; Pseudomonadota; Alphaproteobacteria; Sphingomonadales; Sphingomonadaceae. The record is from RNAcentral.